GACGAACGCUGGCGGCGUGCUUAACACAUGCAAGUCGAACGGAAAGGCCUUUUCGGAGGUACUCGAGUGGCGCACGGGUGAGUAACACGUGGGUGAUCUUCCCUGCACUCUGGGAUAAGCCUGGGAAACUGGGUCUAAUACCGGAUAGGACCGCACUUUAGUGUGUGUGGUGGAAAGUUUUUUCGGUGUAGGAUGAGCCCGCGGCCUAUCAGCUUGUUGGUGGGGUAAUGGCCUACCAAGGCGGCGACGGGUAGCCGGACUGAGAGGUUGGUCCGCGACAUUGAGUCUGAGGUACGGCCCAGACUCCUAAGGGAGGAAGCAGUGGGGAAGCUUGCACAAUGGGCGCAAGCCGGAUGCAGCGGCGCCGCGUGGGGGAUGACGGCCUUCGGGUGGUGAAAGCGUAGCACGAGAGACGAAGCCUGUUGUGACGGUACCAAGAGAAGAAGCACCGGCUAACUACGUG
This 463-nucleotide ribosomal RNA is filed under the name uncultured bacterium. RNAcentral's name for it is "partial 16S ribosomal RNA". It matches the Rfam family "Bacterial small subunit ribosomal RNA", at positions 28 to 507 of the family's 1533-position model. The record is from RNAcentral.